Molecule: long non-coding RNA, 745 nt
Filed under: Homo sapiens (human)
Lineage: Eukaryota; Metazoa; Chordata; Mammalia; Primates; Hominidae
Description: long intergenic non-protein coding RNA 906
Source: RNAcentral
UGGAAGGCAGGGAAUUGCAAUGAAAGAGCACGGAGGUGAGAAGCUGUGCUCCUUGGGGUGAAGGCAGCUUCUGUGCUCCUGGGAUCUACUGUUAAGCCAGGGUGACGCCAGCUUGCAUGCUACCGGAGGGCCCUCCUCUCUUUCCUUCUCUUUUCUGCAAAACCUCGUGGGAUGCCACAUGAGUCUGUUUUGUGUUGCCAUAAAGAAAUAUCUGAGACUGGGCAAUUUAUCAAAAAAAUGUAUAAUUGGCCAUGGUUCUGCAGGGUGUACAGUAAGCGUGGUGCCCUCAUCUGCUUCUGGGGAGGCCUCAGGAAGCUUUUACUCAUGGCAGAAGGGAAGUAAAGCCGGCAUCUCACAGAGCGAAACAGGGAGCAAGAGAGGUGCCUGGCUCUUUUAUUUUAUUAUUUAUUGUAUUUUUUGUGUGAUUAUUUUUAACUUUUAUUUUAGGAUCAAGGGCACAUGUGCAAGUUAGUUAUAUAGGUAAACUGUGUGUCAUGGAGGUUCGAUGUACAGAUUAUUUCAGAUAAUGGGCAUAGUACUCUGUAGACAUUUUUCCUGAUCCUCUCUCUCCUCCCACCUUCCACCCUCAAGCAGGCCUCGGUGUCUGUUGUUCCCCUCUUUGUGCCCAUUGGUUCUUAUCAUUUAGCUCCCAUUUAUAAAGAAGAACAUGCGGGACUUGGUUUUCUAUUUCUGCAUUAAUUCACAUUGGAUAAAGGCCUCCAGCUCCAUCCAUGUUCCUGCAAAA